Molecule: transfer RNA, 72 nt
Filed under: Bos taurus (domestic cattle)
Lineage: Eukaryota; Metazoa; Chordata; Mammalia; Artiodactyla; Bovidae
Also listed under: 5 other names
Rfam family: tRNA
About the family: Transfer RNA (tRNA) molecules are approximately 80 nucleotides in length. Their secondary structure includes four short double-helical elements and three loops (D, anti-codon, and T loops).
Source: Rfam by way of RNAcentral
GGGGAUGUAGCUUAGUGGCAGAGUGUGUGCUUAGCAUGCAUGAGGUCCUGGGUUCAAUCCUGGGCACCUCCA